UGCUGGCUUUCCAACAGCCAGCGCGAAUACCGAAGAGGCUUGUCCUUCAUUGCCAGGUGUGCGGUAGGGUCACUCCCAACCAAUCCACGGCAGCACUUACGGUCUGUACUUUUGGCUUUGCCACGCCUCCAUCGCGUGUCUGGGUC
This is a regulatory RNA element of Tardiphaga sp., 146 nucleotides long. It matches the Rfam family "speF leader". Rfam says of the family: This family is a putative regulatory RNA structure that is found upstream of the speF gene encoding ornithine decarboxylase in Agrobacterium tumefaciens and other alpha-proteobacteria. NCBI's taxonomy places the organism in Bacteria, Pseudomonadati, Pseudomonadota, Alphaproteobacteria, Hyphomicrobiales, Nitrobacteraceae. The record is from Rfam.